Molecule: ribosomal RNA, 262 nt
Filed under: uncultured archaeon
Lineage: Archaea
Description: partial 16S ribosomal RNA
Rfam family: Archaeal small subunit ribosomal RNA
Source: RNAcentral
CAGCCGUAAACGAUGCGCGUUAGGUGUAUCGACGACCACGAGUCGUCGAGGUGCCGAAGGGAAACCGUGAAACGUGCCGCCUGGGAAGUACGGUCGCAAGGCUGAAACUUAAAGGAAUUGGCGGGGGGAGCACCACAACGGGUGGAGCCUGCGGUUUAAUUGGACUCAACGCCGGAAAUCUCACCGGAUAGGACAGACAUAUGAUAGUCGGGCUGAAGACUCUACUUGAUGAUCUGAGAGGAGGUGCAUGGCGUCAGUGACU